This 483-nucleotide ribosomal RNA is filed under the name uncultured bacterium. RNAcentral describes it as "partial 16S ribosomal RNA". It matches the Rfam family "Bacterial small subunit ribosomal RNA", at positions 28 to 507 of the family's 1533-position model. The record is from RNAcentral.
GACGAACGCUGGCGGCGUGCUUAACACAUGCAAGUCGAACGCUGAAGCUCAGCUUUUGUUGGGUGGAUGAGUGGCGAACGGGUGAGUAACACGUGAGUAACCUGCCUCCUUCUUUGGGAUAACGCCCGGAAACGGGUGCUAAUACUGGAUAUUCACUGGUCUUCGCAUGGGGGUUGGUGGAAAGGGUUUUUCUGGUGGGGGAUGGUCUCGCGGCCUAUCAGCUUGUUGGUGGGGUGAUGGCCUACCAAGGCUUUGACGGGUAGCCGGCCUGAGAGGGUGACCGGUCACAUAGGAACUGAGAUACGGCCCAGACUCCUACGGGAGGCAGCAGUGGGGAAUAUUGCACAAGGGGCGCAAGCCUGAUGCAGCGACGCCGCGUGAGGGAUGGAGGCCUUCGGGUUGUGAACCUCUUUCGCUCAUGGUCAAGCCGCAACAAUGGUUGUGGUGAGGGUAGUGGGUAAAGAAGCGCCGGCUAACUACGUG